UCCCCAGACUCCUACGGGAGGCAGCAGUGAGGAAUAUUGGUCAAUGGCCGGAAGGCUGAACCAGCCAAGCCGCGUGAGGGAGGAAGGCGCAGAGCGUCGCAGACCUCUUUUGCCGGGGGACAAAAGGCCGGACGGGUCCGGUUCUGAGGGUACCCGGAGAAAAAGCAUCGGCUAACUCCGUGCCAGCAGCCGCGGUAAUACGGAGGAUGCGAGCGUUAUCCGGAUUCAUUGGGUUUAAAGGGUGCGCAGGCGGUCUUUUAGGCGGGGGGGGAACCCGGGGGCCCCACCCCCGCCGAGCCGUCGGAACUGGGGGCCUUGAGUGCGGCGGAGGCAUGCGGAAUGCGCGGUGUAGCGGUGAAAUGCAUAGAUAUCGCGCAGAACUCCGAUUGCGAAGGCAGCAUACCGGCGCGCAACUGACGCUCAUGCACGAAAGCGUGGGUAUCGAACAGGAUUAGAUACCCCAGUAC
RNAcentral lists this ribosomal RNA (467 nucleotides) under uncultured bacterium. RNAcentral describes it as "bacterial SSU rRNA". It matches the Rfam family "Bacterial small subunit ribosomal RNA", at positions 328 to 793 of the family's 1533-position model. The record is from RNAcentral.